GGGUGUCCUCUUCCUCCCUCACCGCCCCAUGUGCCUCCCUCCCGAAGCUGCGCGCUUGGUUGAAGAGGACGACCAUCCCAGAUAGAGGAGGACUGGUCUUUGGUCAAGGGUAUACGAGUAGCUGCACUCCUCUGCUGGAACCUCCAAACAAGCUCUGAGGUCUUUUCUACCUCUGACAGUAUACGAGGCUCUAACAUUGUGUUAAGAUAAUUACUUGGGAGGUCAUU
RNAcentral lists this small RNA (227 nucleotides) under Aotus nancymaae (Ma's night monkey). RNAcentral describes it as "7SK RNA (ENSANAG00000005344.1)". It matches the Rfam family "7SK RNA", at positions 81 to 261 of the family's 331-position model. Rfam says of the family: 7SK was discovered as an abundant small nuclear RNA in the mid-70s but a possible function has only recently been suggested. Two independent studies have found that 7SK RNA binds the CDK9/cyclin T complex (known as elongation factor P-TEFb). P-TEFb activates transcription by phosphorylating the C-terminal domain of RNA polymerase II. The record is from RNAcentral. Lineage: Eukaryota; Metazoa; Chordata; Mammalia; Primates; Aotidae.